This 287-nucleotide ribosomal RNA is filed under the name uncultured Subdoligranulum sp. RNAcentral describes it as "partial 16S ribosomal RNA". The stretch from base 47 to 287 matches the Rfam family "Bacterial small subunit ribosomal RNA", at positions 100 to 339 of the family's 1533-position model. The record is from RNAcentral. Lineage: Bacteria; Bacillati; Bacillota; Clostridia; Eubacteriales; Oscillospiraceae.
AAACCUUUUAAAGAAGCUUCGGCAGAUUUAGCUGGUUUCUAGUGGCGGACGGGUGAGUAACGCGUGGGUAACCUGCCUUGUACAGGGGGAUAACAGUCAGAAAUGACUGCUAAUACCGCAUAAGCCCACGGUACCGCAUGGUACUGAGGGAAAAGGAUUUAUUCGCUUUAGGAUGGACUCGCGUCCAAUUAGCUAGUUGGUGAGGUAACGGCCCACCAAGGCGACGAUUGGUAGCCGGUCUGAGAGGAUGAACGGCCACACUGGAACUGAGACACGGUCCAGACUCC